UGAGGAAUAUUGGUCAAUGGACGAAAGUCUGAACCAGCCAUGCCGCGUGCAGGAUGACGGCCCUACGGGUUGUAAACUGCUUUUAUAUAGGAAGAAACCUCUUUACGUGUAAAGAGCUGACGGUACUAUAAGAAUAAGGACCGGCUAACUCCGUGCCAGCAGCCGCGGUAAUACGGAGGGUCCAAGCGUUAUCCGGAUUUAUUGGGUUUAAAGGGUACGUAGGCGGAAUUUUAAGUCAGUAGUGAAAGCCCAUCGCUUAACGAUGGAACUGCUAUUGAUACUGUUAUUCUUGAAUAUAGUUGAAGUAGGCGGAAUACGGCAUGUAGCGGUGAAAUGCAUAGAUAUGCCGUGGAACACCAAUCGCGAAGGCAGCUUACUAAGCUAUUAUUGACGCUAAGGUACGAAAGCGUGGGGAGCGAACAGGAUUAGAUACCCCCGUAGUCC
This 444-nucleotide ribosomal RNA is filed under the name uncultured prokaryote. Its description in RNAcentral is "bacterial SSU rRNA". It matches the Rfam family "Bacterial small subunit ribosomal RNA", at positions 355 to 796 of the family's 1533-position model. The record is from RNAcentral.